Molecule: ribosomal RNA, 274 nt
Filed under: uncultured bacterium
Lineage: Bacteria
Description: partial 16S ribosomal RNA
Rfam family: Bacterial small subunit ribosomal RNA
Source: RNAcentral
AUACGGAGGGUGCAAGCGUUACUCGGAAUCACUGGGCGUAAAGCGCGCGCAGGCGGCUUGAUAAGUUGGAUGUGAAAGCCUACGGCUCAACCGUAGAACUGCAUCCAAAACUGUCAAGCUAGAGUCUGUGAGGGGAAGAUGGAAUUAGUUGUGUAGGGGUAAAAUCCGUAGAGAUAACUAGGAAUACCAAAAGCGAAGGCGAUCUUCUGGAACAGUACUGACGCUGAGGCGCGAAAGCGUGGGGAGCAAACAGCAUUAGAAACCCGUGUAGUCC